RNAcentral lists this ribosomal RNA (497 nucleotides) under uncultured bacterium. RNAcentral describes it as "partial 16S ribosomal RNA". It matches the Rfam family "Bacterial small subunit ribosomal RNA", at positions 28 to 507 of the family's 1533-position model. The record is from RNAcentral.
GAUGAACGCUGGCGGCGUGCUUAAUACAUGCAAGUCGAGCGGACGGACCAGGAGCUUGCGUUUCUGAUGUUGGCGGCGGGCGGGUCACUAACGCGUGGAUAACCUAGCUAUUAGACUGAGAUAACUUCGGCAGACCGUAGCUCAUACCGGGUGAUAUUUUGAACGGCAUGGUUCAAAAGUGAAAGACGGUCUUGCUGACCUUUAUGGAUGGAUCCGCGCUGCAUUAGCUAGUUGGUAAGGUAACGGCUUACCAAGGCGACGAUGCAUAGCCGACCUGAGAGGGGGAUCGGCGACACUGGGAGUGAAACACGGUCCAGACUCCUACGGGAGGCAGCAGUAGGGAAUCGUGGGCAAUGGGCGAAAGCCUGACGGAGCAACGCCGCGUGGGUGAUGAAGGUCUUCGGAUCGUAAAACUGGGUUAUUAGGGAAGAACAUAUGUGUAAGUAACUGAGCAAAUCUUGACGGUACCUAAUCAGAAAGCCACGGCUAACUACGUG